UUAAGAGCUUAUGGGAAUUUUUCUAAAGGGGGAUGAAGGACGAUAAGUCGAAAAGCGGGGAAUGGCCAACAUUUUAAUCCCAGUUUUCCCGAAUGGGGCAACCCAGCAUGUUGAAAUUUACCCGAUUUAUCGGAGAGCAAACUAGGGAAAAACAUCAAGUACCUGAAGGAAGAGAAAAAAAAAAAGUGAUUCCGUUAGUAGGGCGAGCGAACGGGGAACAGCCCAAACCAGUGUUUUUAGGCAAACGGGGUUUUAGGACCAGACAUUUGAUGCUUGAUGAAUUGGGAAACCUCUGGGAAAAUGGAACCUAGCGGGUGAUAGUCCCGUACAAGUAAAGAAGUUAUCGAUAGUGGUAUCCUGAGUAGUGCGGGGCACGUGAAACCUUACAAUCUGCCGGGGCCAUCCGUAAGGUAAAUACCCUGAGACCGAUAGUGAACUAGUACCGUGAGGGAAAGGUGAAAAAAACCCCGAAUAAGGGGGGAAAUAGAUCCUGAAACCAUAAACUUACAAGCGGUCGGAGCCCCCGGGGAGGCGGGCCUUGCAUAAGAGCCCGGGUUUCCUUUCUGGCAAGGUUCACUUCAGGUGGGGUCCGAGCGAAAGGAGUCUGAAUAGGGCGUACAGUCAGCAGGGUAGACGCGAAACCGUGUGAUUAUCCAUGGGGAGGUUGAAGCUGGGGUAACACCCCGGAGGACCGAACCCCUUGACGUUUAAAAGUCCCAAACCCGUGGAUAGGGGGAAAAAUCAAACUCGGGAAAAAGCUCGUAUCCCCGAAAAGCAUUUAGGGGCAGGUUGUAUUAUUUAAGAGGGAUUGAUUGGUGGGGGCCACCGCCACCAAUUCCUGACAAAACCCCCAAGCUUAAAAUGAUGUACAGCAGUGAGGGGAUGGGGGCUAAGGUCCAUGUCCGAGGGAAAAAACCCGGGCCACCAGCUAAGGUCCCAAGUAUAUGCUAAGUUGAAUAAACGAGGUUUGACUGCCCAGACAGCUAGAUUUUGGGUUGGGAAACAGCCAUUCAUUUAAAGAGGGUAACAGCUCAUAGUCGAGGGGCGGCAUGGGUAAUAAUCGGGGAAGCAUAUCACCGAAGCUGGCAACGAAAGUUGGGGAGGGAGCAAGGGGCGCGAAGGUAAAACCCAGGUUUUGGAGUUUUUACAAAAAAAAAUGUGGCUGAACGAUAAUGCGGGCGAAAACCCCACACCGAAAACUAAGGCCCCCCCUACUAAUCAAUUUGGGGGUUUGUCGGGGCCUAAGGGAAACCCCAAAGGUAGUGGGGAAACAGAUUAAUAUUUCUGUACCUGCUCUCAUUUAAAGUGACGAAUCUCCCAGGUAUUUACGGGGGACGGAAUCCAGUUGAGCCAUCUGUUGCAGAGAAGCAAAAAAAAAGUAAGGUUCCAGAAAAGCAGAGAAGCAGCCCUUACCGCAAACCGACACAGGUAGUUGGGAUGAGUAUUCUAAGGUGCCUGAGUGAUUCAUGGCUAAGGAACAGGAAAAAUUUACCCCCAACUUGGGAAGGGGCGCCCCCCCUUUCGGGGGCCCCCGGAAUUUGGGCCCGGCGCUGUUUAUCAAAACAAGGGCUCUGCAAGACGAAAGUCGAUGAUAGGGUCUGACACCGCCCGGUGCCGGAAGGUUAAGUGGCGCUGUUUCUUUGGAGAAGCAGCAAAAGAAGCCCCGGUAAAGGGGGGGGAACUAUAACGGUCCUAAAGGGGGAAAUUCCUUUUUCGGGGAAGUUCCGACCCGCACGAAUUUCAACGAUCUGGACAUGUCUGGCCAUGAGCCGGGGGAAAUUGUAGUAUCGGUGAAGAGCCAUUUCCCCAGGGGCGAAAAAACCCCCGCCCCUUUUCUAUAGCUUGAUUGAUUUGGGUAAGUAAUGUAGCAUAGGGGAAGACUAUGAAGCUGCAUCGCAGAUGUGGUGGAGUCAAAAAGAAAUACCACCCUUUGCUUAUCUAGAGCCAAUCCGCCCCGGCAGACAGGGGGGUGGGUAGUUUGACGGGGUGGGCCCCCAAAAAAGUAACGGGGCCAAGGGCCCCCGCACGCUUGGUAACCGUGCGUAGAGUGCAAUGGCAUAAGGGCGCGACUGAGAGACCAAAGUCGAUGUACGAAAGAGAGCAUAGUGAUCCCGGGGGUUCCGAUGGGAAAGGGGCCCUCGCUCAAAGGAUAAAAGGUGCCGGGGAUAACAGGCGAUUCCCCAAGAGCUCAAAUCGAGGGGGGGGCACCCGAUGUCGGCUCGCCAUCCUGGGGCUGGGAAGGUCCCGGGGGGGGCUGUUCGCCCAAAAGGGCACCGAGCUGGGUUCAGAACGUCGGGGACAGUUCGGUCUCAUCUGUAGUGGGCGCUAGAAAUUUGAGUGGGUCUGACUUAGUAAGAGGGCCGGUUUGACCGCUGGUGAUUGUUGUUCCGCCGGAGAUCCCGAGUAGCUAGUCGGGGAAGGGAAAACGCGAAAGAUUAAGCACGAAACCCACCACAAGAUGAGUUUUUUUUAGGUCGUGGAAAACACGUUAUGGGGUCCGGGUUUAAAGGCAGAAUGUCAUAGCCGAGUGAUACUUU
Molecule: ribosomal RNA, 2537 nt
Filed under: Flavobacteriaceae bacterium
Lineage: Bacteria; Pseudomonadati; Bacteroidota; Flavobacteriia; Flavobacteriales; Flavobacteriaceae
Description: partial 23S ribosomal RNA
Rfam family: Bacterial large subunit ribosomal RNA
Source: RNAcentral